Non-coding RNA from Periconia macrospinosa, 131 nucleotides. Lineage: Eukaryota; Fungi; Ascomycota; Dothideomycetes; Pleosporales; Periconiaceae. The record is from the annotation of a GenBank genome assembly.
GCCCGUUUGGCUUAGUGGUACAGCGUCUCACUCGUAAGUUUCACAUCUAUGUAUCUACACACCGAUAGGGUACGUAUGUGGCAUGUAUAUGCGACAUGAGAAGAUCCUCGGUUCGAUUCCGAGAAUGGGCA